Molecule: ribosomal RNA, 726 nt
Filed under: Natrinema sp. BAB-4216
Lineage: Archaea; Methanobacteriati; Methanobacteriota; Halobacteria; Halobacteriales; Natrialbaceae
Description: bacterial SSU rRNA
Rfam family: Archaeal small subunit ribosomal RNA
Source: RNAcentral
CCUCGGGAAACUGAGGCUAAUGCGGAAUAACGUUCAUCGCCUGGAGUGGCACGAACGCGAAACGUUACGGCGCCAUAGGAUGUGGCUGCGGCCGAUUAGGUAGACGGUGGGGUAACGGCCCACCGUGCCCAUAAUCGGUACGGGUUGUGAGAGCAAGAGCCCGGAGACGGUAUCUGAGACAAGAUACCGGGCCCUACGGGGCGCAGCAGGAGCGAAACCUUUACACUGCACGCGAGUGCGAUAAGGGGACUCCGAGUGCGAGGGCAUAUAGUCCUCGCUUUUCACGACCGUAAGGUGGUCGUAAAAUAAGUGCUGGGCAAGACCGGUGCCAGCCGCCGCGGUAAUACCGGCAGCACGAGUGAUGACCGCUAUUAUUGGGCCUAAAGCGUCCGUAGCUGGCCACGCAAGUCUAUCGGGAAAUCCGCGCGCUUAACGCGCGGGCGUCCGGUGGAAACUGCGUGGCUUGGGACCGGAAGACCAGAGGGGUACGUCCGGGGUAGGAGUGAAAUCCCGUAAUCCUGGACGGACCACCGGUGGCGAAAGCGCCUCUGGAAGACCGAUCCGACGGUGAGGGACGAAAGCUCGGGUCACGAACCAGGAUUACAUACCCGGGCUAGUCCGAGCUGUAAACGAUGUCUGCUAGGUGUGGCACAGGCUACGAGCCUGUGCUGUGCCGUAGGGAAGCCGUGAAGCAGACCGCCUGGGAAGUACGUCCGCAAGGAUGAA